RNAcentral lists this ribosomal RNA (253 nucleotides) under uncultured bacterium. Its description in RNAcentral is "partial 16S ribosomal RNA". It matches the Rfam family "Bacterial small subunit ribosomal RNA", at positions 524 to 776 of the family's 1533-position model. The record is from RNAcentral.
CACGUAGGGCGCAAGCGUUGUCCGGAAUUAUUGGGCGUAAAGAGCUCGUAGGCGGUCUGUUACGUCUGCUGUGAAAACCCGGGGCUUAACCCUGGGCUUGCAGUGGAUACGGGCAGACUAGAGGCAGGUAGGGGAGAAUGGAAUUCCCGGUGUAGCGGUGAAAUGCGCAGAUAUCUGGAGGAACACCGGUGGCGAAGGCGGCAUCCUGGACCAAUAUUGACGCUGAGGAGCGAAAGCCAGGGGAGCAAACGGG